Ribosomal RNA from Esox lucius (northern pike), 109 nucleotides. The record is from Ensembl. Lineage: Eukaryota; Metazoa; Chordata; Actinopteri; Esociformes; Esocidae.
GCUUAUGGCCACACCUCCCUGAGCACAUCUGAUCUCGGUAGCUAAGCAGGGUCGGGCCCGGUUAGUACUUGGAUGGGAGACCGCCUGGGAAUACCAGGUGCUGGAAGCC